This 864-nucleotide ribosomal RNA is filed under the name Nematoda environmental sample. RNAcentral's name for it is "SSU rRNA". It matches the Rfam family "Eukaryotic small subunit ribosomal RNA", at positions 44 to 926 of the family's 1831-position model. Lineage: Eukaryota; Metazoa; Nematoda. The record is from RNAcentral.
UUAAGCCAUGCAUGUCUAAGUAUAAACGAUUUAUCGUGAAACCGCGAAWGGCUCAUUAUAACAGCUAUAAUUUACUUGAUCUUGACACAAUCCUACUUGGAUAACUGUGGUAAUUCUAGAGCUAAKACAUGCAUUAAAGCUCUGACCUCACGGGAAGAGUGCAUUUAUUAGAACAAAACCAAGCGGCUUCGGCUGUUUCUGGUUGACUCAUAGUAACUGAGCUGAUCGCAUGGUCUUGCACCGGCGACGUGUCUUUCAAGUAUCUGCCGUAUCAACUUUCGAUGGUAGUGUAUCUGACUACCAUGGUGAUCACGCGUAACGGAGAAUAAGGGUUCGGCUCCGGAGAGUUCGCCUGAGAAAUCGCGAACACAUCUAAGGAAGGCAGCAGGCGCGAAAAUUACCCACUCUCAGCACGAGGAGGUAGUGACGAAAAAUAACGAGACCGUUCUCUUAUGAGGCCGGUCAUCGGAAUGGGUACAAUUUAAACCCUUUAACGAGUAUCUAUGAGAGGGCAAGUCUGGUGCCAGCAGCCGCGGUAAUUCCAGCUCUCAAAGUGCAUAGAAUUAUUGCUGCGGUUAAAAAGCUCGUAGUUGGAUCUGUGCCAUAGGACGUGGUCCACCUUCGGGUGCGUACUACGCUCCUAGGCUUUUUGCUGGUUUUCCCGUCGUAGCCUUCACUGGUUGCGGCGGGUGGCUGGCGAGUUUACUUUGAGAAAAUCAGAGUGCUCAAUACAGGCGUAUCGCUUGAAUGAUUGUGCAUGGAAUAAUAGAAAAGGAUUUCGKUCCUCUUUUAUUGGUUUUGUGGACUGAGAUAAWGGUUAACAGGGACAACCGRGGGCAUUGUAUCUMUGCAGWGAGAGGGAAA